Molecule: small nuclear RNA, 317 nt
Filed under: Saimiri boliviensis boliviensis (Bolivian squirrel monkey)
Lineage: Eukaryota; Metazoa; Chordata; Mammalia; Primates; Cebidae
Description: 7SK RNA (ENSSBOG00000001095.1)
Rfam family: 7SK RNA (bases 1-276)
About the family: 7SK was discovered as an abundant small nuclear RNA in the mid-70s but a possible function has only recently been suggested. Two independent studies have found that 7SK RNA binds the CDK9/cyclin T complex (known as elongation factor P-TEFb).
Source: RNAcentral
GCAUGUGAAGGCAAUCUGACUGAAACAUCUGUCAACUCACUGAUCAUCAGGGUUGAUUUGGCGGAUCGCUGGCUAGACAGAGAUCUCAUCCCUUUUUCAGUGCUUCACAUGCUUUCUUCCUGAAGCUGAGCACUUCGUUGAUGAGGAUGAUAUUCCCCAAUAAAGGAGGAUCAUUCUUCAAUCAAGGGUAUACAAGUAGCUGGACUUCCCUGCUGGAACCUCCAAACAUGAUCUCAAGAAGUAGCAAGAUUAUUUUCUUCCCGAUCUUAUAGAAUAGAUCAUGCACAAAAAGGAAUCAAUAAGCAAACAGUGGACUU